AUCUAACAGACAAGUUCAAAAUAGAACGAAACGUGCAUCCUGGAU
RNAcentral lists this non-coding RNA (45 nucleotides) under Schistosoma curassoni. The record is from RNAcentral. Lineage: Eukaryota; Metazoa; Platyhelminthes; Trematoda; Strigeidida; Schistosomatidae.